AAGAGUGUAAAAACUCCCAAACCCAUGUGAACCUACCACUGUUGCCUCGGUGGGCUGCCCUGCGUGGCCUGCCGAAGGACCUCAAAACUCUUUUUCAUUAUGAAUCUCUGAGUACAACUUUUAAAUAAGUAA
This 132-nucleotide unclassified non-coding RNA is filed under the name uncultured Orbiliaceae. RNAcentral describes it as "sequence contains ITS1". Lineage: Eukaryota; Fungi; Ascomycota; Orbiliomycetes; Orbiliales. The record is from RNAcentral.